UUGAAUAUCAUGGUUAGUCUC
RNAcentral lists this non-coding RNA (21 nucleotides) under Caenorhabditis elegans. The record is from RNAcentral. Lineage: Eukaryota; Metazoa; Nematoda; Chromadorea; Rhabditida; Rhabditidae.